CAGGUAUUCGAGCCUCAUCCUGUCAUCUUGGGGGACACAACUAAACCUACAACACAAUCCUGGAAAAGUCAAGAUACUGAUCUCAAUCCAGUGUGACCCACGUCGGACUUUUGACCUAAAGAACUGAAAGAUGAUAAUUUGAAUUUAAGCCAUCCAGUUCCUACUGAUCCAGCAGCAUCGCAGGCUGGCGAGGAAGCCUUCAGCCCUGGACCUUGCGGGGACAGCCCUGAACAGUAGCACUGAGCUAGCAGCUGCAACUGGUGGAUUUUGAGCAAAGUUUGAUGAGCCCUGAAACAGACAGACUCAUGAAUGUGAUAACUCAUUCAAAAUCGACACUGCUCUCAUGGUUCUCGGGAAACCCCUCCGCAGCCCUCUCUAUCCCUUGUCUACCCAGUGGAGCCCUCGUUCUGACUUCGUCACAGUAAUAGCUGAAGCAUUUCCUGCUUUAAGGGGGUCAUAUGAAUAGACUUGCACCAAAAAUAAACUUACAUG
This is a long non-coding RNA of Fukomys damarensis (Damara mole-rat), 492 nucleotides long. RefSeq lists it as uncharacterized. NCBI's taxonomy places the organism in Eukaryota, Metazoa, Chordata, Mammalia, Rodentia, Bathyergidae. The record is from RefSeq and is a predicted model, not a curated record. The transcript has 3 exons.